Molecule: ribosomal RNA, 218 nt
Filed under: uncultured bacterium
Lineage: Bacteria
Description: partial 16S ribosomal RNA
Rfam family: Bacterial small subunit ribosomal RNA
Source: RNAcentral
AUUGAACGCUGGCGGCAUGCCUAACACAUGCAAGUCGAACGGUAACAGGCCCUUCGGGGCGCUGACGAGUGGCGGACGGGUGAGUAAUGCUUAGGAAUCUGCCUAGUAGUGGGGGAUAACCCGGGGAAACUCGGGCUAAUACCGGCAUACGUCCUACGGGAGAAAGCGGGGGACCUUCGGGCCUCGCGCUAUUAGAUGAGCCUAAGUCCGAUUAGCUA